Long non-coding RNA from Chrysemys picta bellii (western painted turtle), 1738 nucleotides. NCBI's taxonomy places the organism in Eukaryota, Metazoa, Chordata, Testudines, Emydidae. The record is from Ensembl.
AGUCAGGGGCUCUUGAAAAUCCGUCCACUUAUAUAUGUACCUACAUGGGCGCUCUUGGGAGCAGAGUUAUUUUGAACAUCUGGCCUUGAAUACAUUAUUCAGUAGUCCAGCUCUCCUAAAAUUAAGAUGUGGUCGGUUAAUAGAGACAGUCUGGCUGGCUAGCUAUUGCCUGGGUUUUCCGUCUUUUUGAAAACCACCUAAGAAAGCAUGGUCUACAAGUACAUUUGGUGGCUUGCAGAAUUAUAAAGCACAGUUGCCAUGUCAUUAAAAAUGCCCCUUUCCCUCCCUGACUCACCCCAGCCCUGUUAAAUUGGAUUCACUGAAGUAGCUUUGCACAAGGGAAGUUUUUUAACCGUGCUCCUCUUUUUAGGGGAGGACAGUGCCCCAUCUAGUGGUAACUUGGGGUUAAAGGAGAAUAAAGCCUUCGCUCUGGCACUCUGGAACAGCACACAUCUACCUAGGAGUGAGGAGCCCAUUUCUGCAUCCCGGAAUGGACAUUGGAGAGUCGAAUCACACCCCUGCCAUCCGUCUCUGGUCCGAGCAGAACCUGCAGCUCCCUCGUGCUUUUUAUGUUUUGUUCAGCGAGCGGCUGAUUUUGUGAGUUUGCCAGAAGAGUUAAGACUCUUUGCAUAUCUCGCCCCAGCGCCUGCUGUUAUAAAGUCUGUGAGAUUAGUGGAGACUCCUUGGGGUGGGGGCAGACAAUUGGUCAUCUUUUACAUUACGCCUCUACCCCGAUAGAACGUGACCCGAUAUAACACGAAUUCGGAUAUAACGCGGUAAAGCAGCGCUCCGGGGGGGCGGGGCUGCGCACUCCGGUGGAUCAAAGCAAGUUCGAUAGAACGCGGUUUCACCUAUAACGCGAUAAGAUUUUUUGGCUCCCGAGGACAGCGUUAUAUCGAGGUAGAGGUGUACUGUAAACUCGCUCCAGGUGCAACUUCACCCUUCCCUCUUCCACAUGUCACCAGCCUCCAAUGAGCGAGGCACGAGAUUGCAGCGUCCGUAGACUUAGCCGGCCAAUUGGUCAGUAAGGGCCUGAAAUCCAUGGGCGAGUCUUUCAAUUUACUUCACUGAGUGCCGGAGUGAGACCCACGGGCCUGAGGCAUGAGGGCCCUGAGUGACUUCCUGGAUGGCUAAGGGUGCAGCUGCCAUCUCGUGUCUUCCUCAGGAGGCGCUCAGCGCCAGGCUGAAUCAGGCACCCCUGGAGCCAUCGCAAAGUUUUAGGUUUACCCCUAAGUGUCCCGUUGGAAAUUAUGAAGGACACAAAAUAUUUAGAGCUGGUUGAAAUUUUUCAAAUUCCAGGAGAAAAAUAUUCCUGAAAAUGUUCCCCAGUUCCCCAUCUAAUCUCUCCAGCAGCUCCAACAACAUUAAACCAGAUGCUAAUUUACUUCCCAGGGCAGAGCAAUUAUCCUAGGACUAUCCACAGAGGGUAAAUCCUCCUGGAGUGAGCACCUGUAACUCCCAUUGGUUUUAAGUGGCUAUUGCAGGGGCUCCCUGGGGUCCAAUGGGAAUUUUGCCAUCGACUUUAAUGGGGCCAGGAUUUCGACUUGUUCUGCGUAGCACGUUGUGUGCCUGUGGAUGGGGAUAGCUGUGCUGCCUUGUACACACUGGGAGCUGGACUUUACGACACAGGGUGCUGCUGGCAUCCGCCAUCACCUAAUGCAGCGUCUAUGCAGGCUGCUGUGGGACCCACAUCACAUGGCUCCAUGCCCAAGUGUAACAGCAACAGACCCCGGUCGUC